This 429-nucleotide ribosomal RNA is filed under the name Bacteroidota bacterium. Its description in RNAcentral is "Bacteroidetes bacterium partial 16S ribosomal RNA". It matches the Rfam family "Bacterial small subunit ribosomal RNA", at positions 355 to 776 of the family's 1533-position model. The record is from RNAcentral. Lineage: Bacteria; Pseudomonadati; Bacteroidota.
UAGGGAAUCUUCGGCAAUGGGGGGAACCCUGACCGAGCAACGCCGCGUGAGUGAAGAAGGUUUUCGGAUCGUAAAGCUCUGUUGUUAAGGAAGAACGAGUGUGAGAAUGGAAAGUUCAUGCUGUGACGGUACUUAACCAGAAAGGGACGGCUAACUACGUGCCAGCAGCCGCGGUAAUACGUAGGUCCCGAGCGUUGUCCGGAUUUAUUGGGCGUAAAGCGAGCGCAGGCGGUUAGAAAAGUCUGAAGUGAAAGGCAGUGGCUCAACCAUUGUAGGCUUUGGAAACUGUUUAACUUGAGUGCAGAAGAGGAGAGUGGAAUUCCAUGUGUAGCGGUGAAAUGCGUAGAUAUAUGGAGGAACACCAGUGGCGAAGGCGACUCUCUGGUCUGUAACUGACGCGGAGGCUCGAAAGCGUGGGUAGCAAACAGG